UAGGGAAUCUUCCACAAAUGGGCGCAAGCCUGAUGGAGCAACGCCGCGUGUGUGAUGAAGGGUUUCGGCUCGUAAAACACUGUUGUAAGAGAAGAAUGACAUUGAGAGUAACUGUUCAAUGUGUGACGGUAUCUUACCAGAAAGGAACGGCUAAAUACGUGCCAG
RNAcentral lists this ribosomal RNA (165 nucleotides) under uncultured bacterium. Its description in RNAcentral is "partial 16S rRNA". It matches the Rfam family "Bacterial small subunit ribosomal RNA", at positions 355 to 511 of the family's 1533-position model. The record is from RNAcentral.